RNAcentral lists this long non-coding RNA (3337 nucleotides) under Melopsittacus undulatus (budgerigar). Its description in RNAcentral is "lncRNA (ENSMUNG00000018154.1)". Lineage: Eukaryota; Metazoa; Chordata; Aves; Psittaciformes; Psittaculidae. The record is from RNAcentral.
AUAUGGGGUGUGGGGUAAUGGAUGUGGGGUACAUGGGUCACAACCUCAGUGUCCAGCUUUGCUCCUGUGUCCCUUCAGGCUGGGGACACUCGGAAGAGCUGCAGGAGGUGGCAUAGAGCUGUCCCCAUGGCCCCUAUUGAUCCUGUGUCCCAAUGUCCCCAUGGCCCCUAUUGAUCCUGUGUCCCAAUGUCCCCAUGGCCCCAUAUCCCAAUGUCCCCAUGUCCCCCUAUUGAUCCUGUGUCCCAAUGUCCCCAUGUCCCCAUAUUCCAAUGUCCCCAUGUCCCCCUACUGAUCCUGUGUCCCAAUGUCCCCAUAUCCCAAUAUCUACAUGGCCCCCUAUUGAUCCUGUGUCCCAAUGUCCCCAUAUCCCAAUAUCUACAUGGCCCCCUAUUGAUCCUGUGUCCCAAUGUCCCCAUAUCCCAAUGUCCCCAUGUACCCAUAUCCCAAUAUCCCCAUAUCCCAAUGUCCCCAUGACCCCCUAUUGAUCCUGUGUCCCAAUGUCCCCAUGACCCCCUAUUGAUCCUGUGUCCCAAUGUCCCCAUAUCCCCAUAUCCCCAGUGUGCCCCUGUCCCCCUAUUGAUCCUGUGUCCCCAUCUCCCUGCACUGUCCCAAUGUCCCCCCCCCAUCUCCCCAUUAAAGAUGGAAGCAGCAUCACCCCCAUCCUCAUCCCUGGGGGGGGGGGGUUGAUCCCUCAGCAGCAACACCAGGACUGGGGCUUAAGGAGCCUUUAAUGGGGGCAUCCAUGGGGUCUAUGGGGACCGGGGGCGCUGCUGCCCCCCCCCCCCCCCCCACGGCUCCAUGGGGCUGGUGCCCCCCCCCCUCAGGAGCUGCCCCUUGUGCCCCCCCCAUGGCCUGGGGCUGCCCCGUCCCUGUCCCCAUUCCACUCGGGAAGGGGGGGCCAUGGGGCCACGGGGACCAGGGGCAGGGGGGGCUGGGGGUCAUCGGGCCGGGGGGGGCCCUGCGGCUGGGGGGGGGGCUUGGGCACGGGCGGCUGCGGCUGGGGGGGCGCUGGGGGGCGGCGCUCGGCCAUGCUGGGGGGGCAAAGAGAGAGAGGUUAUGGGGACACCCCCAUUGAUCCCAGUUAUGGGGACACCCCCAUUGACCCCAGUUAUGGAGACACCCCCCAUUGAUCCCAGUUAUGAGGACACUCCCCUAUUGAUCCCAGUUAUGGGGACACCCCCAUUGAUCCCAGUUAUGGGGACACCCCCCAUUGACCCCAGUUAUGGGGACCCACCCAUUGAUCCCAGUUAUGAGGACACUCCCCUAUUGAUCCCAGUUAUGGGGACCCACCCAUUGAUCCCAGUUAUGGGGACCCACCCAUUGAUCCCAGUUAUGGGGACCCCCCCAUUAACCCCAGUUAUGGAGGUCCAGGAUCCAUCCUGCCCCACUCCCCCCCCCUCCCCCAACCCCGCAGGGCUCCCCCCCCUCGGUACCUGGUGUCUAUGGCAGCAGCUCCAGAGCAACACCGGGAUCAAUGGGAGCAAUGGGAGCUCUUAUGGGCACCGGCAGGGCUGGAACCGGCUGGGCUGGAAGGUCGGGGGGGGACGUGGCAGCAGCUGCCCAUGAGUCAGAGCCCCGCCCGGCCCUAGAGAUAGAGCUUUGCCCUAUAGAACCUGCCCUAUAGAACCUGCCCCUAUGGAGCUGUCCUAUAAAACCUGCACCUAUAGCUGCCCUAUAGAGCCGGCAUCUAUAGACCUGCCCUUAUAGACCUAACCCCUAUAGACCUAAGCUCUAUUAACCCGCUCCCUAUAUAGAUCUGACCCUAUAGACUUGCCCUUAUAGACCUGCCCCUAUAGACCUAACCCCUCUAAACCUGUCCCCUAUAUAGACCCGCCCCUAUAGACCCCCCAUAGACCUCACCCUAUAGAUCUACCCCUAUAGAAACCGGGUGUGCGUUGGUUUGGGGACACUUUGCGGGGGGGGGGGAUAUGUUGGUGACCCCUGGGUCCCUCCCCAGCUGAUCCCAAGGACCCGGGGUCCCCAACACCCCCCAAAGGCUCCGCUUUAAGCCCAGGAGGAGGUCAGGUUAUGGGGCUGGCUAUGGGUCGGGCUAUGGGUCGGGCUAUGGGCCAAGGCGUGGGUCAGGCUGUGGGGCGCAGGCAGGGGCAGGUUGGGGAGCAGGGGGGGCCCCAGCAGGUCCCGCAGCUCCGGCUCCAGCCCCUCCGCAGCUGUGGGGCUGGGGCUCGGGGCCGGCGCUGCCGUCGGGGGGGGCUUCGUGUUCGGGAUGCUCACGGGCACCGGAGCCGUGGCUGGGACCGGGACCGUGACGGGCACCGGGAGGCUGCGGGCGGCGCCUGCGGACACCAGGGGGCGCUGGUGGGAAUGGGGCUCCCCCAUUGCGGUGGGGAACCCGCAUCCCCCCAUAGCCCCAUAGACCCCAUAGAUCCCCAUAGCCCCAUAGCCCCCAUAGCCCCAUAGACCCGCAUCCCCCCAUAGCCCCAUAGACCCCAUAGCACCCAUAGAUCCCCAUAGCCCCCAUAGCCCCAUAGACCCACAUCCCCCCAUAGCCCCAUAGACCCCAUAGCACCCAUAGAUCCCCAUAGCCCCAUAGACCCCAUAGACCCACAUCCCCCCCAUAGCCCCACACCCAGGAGGGACCCACGUGUUGGGCACCUACCGAGCAGGACGAGCAGGAGCCCGAGGGUCCUGAGGGCACCCAUGGGUGCUGCUUGUGGGGCCGGGAGCACCGGGAGCACUGGGAGCACUGGUUUUAUGGGCAGGGAUCCUCCCACCCCUGAUUCCAACCCAGCCACCUACGGAGGGUGGGGAACCGGGACGGCCACCCAUGGUAUGGGGCCAGACUGGUCCUAAUGGGGUCACACUGGGCCUAAUGGGGUCACACUGGUGCUGAUGGGGCCAGACUGGUCCUAAUGGGGUCACACUGGGCCUAAUGGGGUCACACUGGUGCUGAUGGGGCCAGCCUGGGCCUAUUGGGGUCAUACUGGGCAUUAUGGGGUCACAUUGGUGCUGAAGGGGCCAUACUGGGCCUAUUGGGGUCAUACUGGUGCUAAUGGGGUCACACUGGUGCUGAUGGGGCCAUAUUGGGCCUAUUGGGGUCAUACUGGUGCUAAUGGGGUCACACUGGUGGUGAUGGGGCCAUCCUGGGCCUAUUGGGGUCAUACUGGUGCUAAUGGGGUCACACUGGUGCUGAUGGGGCCAUCCUGGGCCUAUUGGGGUCACACUGGUGCUAAUGGGGUCACACUGGUGCUGAUGGGGUCAUACUGAGCCUUAUGGGGCCAGACUGGUCCCCAAGUGCCAGCAGGCCCAUGUGUGCCCUUGGCUCAUCUCCCAUGUUCUGAGUGUCCCCAUCCCAUGAGUGUCCCCAUCCCCAUCCCAU